AUGUUGUUGCUAAGCCGGAAACAAAGCAUGUGAAUGUUUUUUUUUUUGGCACAGCGUCGUUUGGAAAGUGCACUUCCUUGUUCUGACCUUGCCUUUUAUGGGCUGGAGCGAUAUGAUUCGUGAAUAUGCCACGGCGAAGUUGUCGAAGAUGCGACAGUGCUACGCUGUUAGAACAAUUCAUCGGAGCAUUCAAGUGUUACCUAUUAUAAGCUUCCAAAAGACCAAGCAGUGCGAAGCUCUUGGCUGACAGUGGUGCCUGCUAAUUUCCACUGCAAGGAUUUCGUCCACGAAUGUUAUCAUAGGUUACGCGCGACUCCAGAGGCAAUUUGGAAUCUCGGCACGAAAUCGUCUGAUGAAAAUCUGAGGUGCCCGACGUAUAACAUUUUGAACAUGCCACGGAGGAUCAAGGCAAAAAACGAGAGCAAAAACAGGUAAGUCGAGGUUCAGAUAUAAAAAAUAGCAAGCUUAAUGAAUCGAUUGUGCAGCUGUCCUACUGCGCUUACUCUGAUAUAACCACGAUUAACAACACAAUAGUACUAUUGAUAAUUUAACUUCUGAAUUAUCACAGGUGCACGCUGAAGGCGGAAAUGAAGCAUGAUCUGGCUUGCAUCAUGGUCAUGAAGAAAUUGCUGACACGUUAGUUGCAGUCCACCUCCACCAACAGACAUCUUGACACCACUUUUAAAUCUGCCCUCAAAGUUACAACCUCUGCUUUCGGGGUGGAAAACAAAGGUCGCCAUUCCGAUUAGCUGCUCUCUCCCAGUUCAAGCACUUUUGUGUCUGGACACUGGUUCCUGUGGAUGGGGUGUUACAAGCUUCACUGUCUGAUAUAGAAGUGAUGAGCAUCCAUAAGGACACAUGACAGAAAGGGAGUCUCUUUGGGAUGACAAAUCCUCAUCACCUCAUGAGGAUACAAUGGUUGACGAAUGGUUCUCAAGCACAUCGAAACUUUCAACAAAUAAUUCAUGAAAAAGCCAGUCAG
This is a long non-coding RNA of Ornithodoros turicata, 982 nucleotides long. RefSeq lists it as uncharacterized. Lineage: Eukaryota; Metazoa; Arthropoda; Arachnida; Ixodida; Argasidae. The transcript has 3 exons. The record is from RefSeq and is a predicted model, not a curated record.